CCUACGGGUGGCUGCAGUGGGGAAUAUUGGACAAUGGGGGGAACCCUGAUCCAGCCAUGCCGCGUGUGUGAAGAAGGCCCUCGGGUUGUAAAGCACUUUCAGUGAGGAAGAACGCCUGGUGGUUAAUACCCAUCAGGAAAGACAUCACUCACAGAAGAAGCACCGGCUAACUCCGUGCCAGCAGCCGCGGUAAUACGGAGGGUGCGAGCGUUAAUCGGAAUUACUGGGCGUAAAGCGCGCGUAGGUGGCUUGAUAAGCCGGUUGUGAAAGCCCCGGGCUCAACCUGGGAACGGCAUCCGGAACUGUCAAGCUAGAGUGCAGGAGAGGAAGGUAGAGUACCCGGUGUAGCGGUGAAAUGCGUAGAGAUCGGGAGGAAUACCAGUGGCGAAGGCGGCCUUCUGGACUGACACUGACACUGAGGUGCGAAAGCGUGGAUAGCAAACAGGAUUAGAUACCCCAGUAGUC
This 465-nucleotide ribosomal RNA is filed under the name Vreelandella stevensii. Its description in RNAcentral is "partial 16S ribosomal RNA". It matches the Rfam family "Bacterial small subunit ribosomal RNA", at positions 338 to 795 of the family's 1533-position model. The record is from RNAcentral. Lineage: Bacteria; Pseudomonadati; Pseudomonadota; Gammaproteobacteria; Oceanospirillales; Halomonadaceae.